GAGUUUGAUCAUGGCUCAGGAUGAACGCUAGCGACAGGCUUAACACAUGCAAGUCGAGGGGCAGCGGGGGAGCAGCAAUGCUCCUGCCGGCGACCGGCGCACGGGUGAGUAACACGUAUGGAACCUGCCCGCAGCAGGGGGAUAAGCGGAAGAAAUUCCGUCUAAUACCGCGUAACACCGCGGAGGGGCAUCCCUCGGCGGUUAAAGAUUCAUCGGCUGCGGAUGGCCAUGCGGCGCAUUAGCUAGUCGGCGGGGUAACGGCCCACCGAGGCGACGAUGCGUAGGGGUUCUGAGAGGAAGGUCCCCCACACUGGUACUGAGACACGGACCAGACUCCUACGAGAGGCAGCAGUGAGGAAUAUUGGUCAAUGGCCGUAAGGCUGAACCAGCCAAGUCGCGUGAGGGAAGACGGCCCUACGGGUUGUAAACCUCUUUUGUCAGGGAGCAAGGGGCAGGUCGUGACCUGCUGUGAGAGUACCUGAAGAAAAAGCAUCGGCUAACUCCGUGCCAGCAGCCGCGGUAAUACGGAGGAUGCGAGCGUUAUCCGGAUUUAUUGGGUUUAAAGGGUGCGCAGGCGGAGGCACAAGUCAGCGGUAAAAUCGCGGGGCUCAACCCCGCUCCGCCGUUGAAACUGUGUCCCUUGAGUGCGCGAAGGGUAGGCGGAAUGCGUGGUGUAGCGGUGAAAUGCAUAGAUAUCACGCAGAACUCCGAUCGCGAAGGCAGCCUACCGGCGCGCUACUGACGCUCAUGCACGAAAGCGUGGGUAUCGAACAGGAUUAGAUACCCUGGUAGUCCACGCAGUAAACGAUGAAUGCUAUCUGUCCGGCCGGAAUGACGGCUGGGUGGCACAGCGAAAGCGUUAAGCAUUCCACCUGGGGAGUACGCCGGCAACGGUGAAACUCAAAGGAAUUGACGG
RNAcentral lists this ribosomal RNA (916 nucleotides) under uncultured bacterium. RNAcentral describes it as "bacterial SSU rRNA". It matches the Rfam family "Bacterial small subunit ribosomal RNA", at positions 9 to 916 of the family's 1533-position model. The record is from RNAcentral.